AGUGAACGCUGGCGGCAGGCCUAACACAUGCAAGUCGAACGGCAGCACAGCAGUAGCAAUACUGUGGGUGGCGAGUGGCGGACGGGUGAGGAAUACAUCGGGAUCUACCUUUUCGUGGGGGAUAACGUAGGGAAACUUACGCUAAUACCGCAUACGCCCUACGGGGGAAAGCGGCGGACCGCAAGGCGUCGCGCGAUGAGAUGAACCGAUGUCCGAUUAGCUAGUUGGCGGGGUAAAGGCCCACCAAGGCGACGAUCGGUAGCUGAUCUGAGAGGAUGAUCAGCCACACUGGAACUGAGACACGGUCCAGACUCCUACGGGAGGCAGCAGUGGGGAAUAUUGGACAAUGGGCGCAAGCCUGAUCCAGCCAUGCCGCGUGGGUGAAGAAGGCCUUCGGGUUGUAAAGCCCUUUGUCCGGUAAAGAAAGACACGGGAUUAAUACCCUCGUCGUGAUGACGGUACCGGAAGAAUAAGACACCGGCUAACUUCGUGCCAGCAGCCGAC
RNAcentral lists this ribosomal RNA (504 nucleotides) under uncultured bacterium. Its description in RNAcentral is "bacterial SSU rRNA". It matches the Rfam family "Bacterial small subunit ribosomal RNA", at positions 29 to 518 of the family's 1533-position model. The record is from RNAcentral.